UACGGAGGGUGCGAGCGUUGUCCGGAAUCACUGGGCGUAAAGGGCGCGUAGGCGGCGCGAGUAGUCAACGGUGAAAGCCCGGGGCUCAACCCCGGGUCGGCCGUCGAUACUCUCGUGCUUGAGCACUGUAGAGGCAGGUGGAAUUCCGGGUGUAGCGGUGGAAUGCGUAGAGAUCCGGAAGAACACCGGUGGCGAAGGCGGCCUGCUGGGCAGUAGCUGACGCUGAGACGCGAAAGCGUGGGGAGCAAACAGG
Molecule: ribosomal RNA, 253 nt
Filed under: uncultured bacterium
Lineage: Bacteria
Description: partial 16S ribosomal RNA
Rfam family: Bacterial small subunit ribosomal RNA
Source: RNAcentral